UGUUGUUGGGUCUGCUGGUAUUGUUGUUGCUGGGCUGCUGUUGGGUUGGUAUGUUAUUGGGUCUACAGCUGGCAACAAAUCAGAUCUGGUUCGGGUCAGUAGUUUGGAUCGACGGUACGGGUCAAGUUGAACCGACUGUUCUUUUUCUUUUUCUUUCUUUUUCCUUCUUCUUUCAACUCAAACCCUAGCCCAUUUUUUUCUUUUCUGACGCUUCAUUUGCCCGGCGGUGCGACAGUCGUUGGUGUUUUACCCCUCAUAUCUUUUCUCCUCUUUCUCUUCUCUCUUCUUUCUCUUUUUUUCUUCUCUUUUCUUCCUCUUUUUUCUCUUCCCGUUUUGUUUAUUUUUCAGGGGACCUGAAGAUGUUGCAAAUCGUCUCAUCCACCGCCGUUCGUCGCUCAUCGCUCGGGCCACGGCCGGACCUUUCCCUUUUGCCAGCGUCUUCCCCUAAAAGGUGAGUUAUAUUUUUUUAUUUUUAUAUUUUGGUUGUUGCGAUUGCUCGGGUUUUAAUAAUGGCGGAUGGAAAGUGGCAAGGCAGUGGGGGCGAUGACGGUCACGGUGGCGGUGGGGGAAGCGGCCAUGACGAUUCGAAGGUAACAAAGCUAUUUUUUUUCUUUUUUUGAAGCCCUUUUUUUCUUUUUUCUACCUCUGUUCCUGGCUGCCGAUUUUUUGCAAGAAAAACAUCCUCUUAUUGUUGUUGAUUACUCCUUUUUCUCUUUGUUUUCAGGUAGCAGUUGAGGAGGGCCAUCAUGACCCUAGGCCGGCCGCCGAAAAUAACGGAG
RNAcentral lists this long non-coding RNA (779 nucleotides) under Gossypium raimondii (Peruvian cotton). Its description in RNAcentral is "long non-coding RNA (GRAI_LNC000038)". Lineage: Eukaryota; Viridiplantae; Streptophyta; Magnoliopsida; Malvales; Malvaceae. The record is from RNAcentral.